UGAAUACGAGAUGCUACGGCGUCGAAGCAGUGUAUGUCAGACUUCCAAGAAAAGCUCGCAAUGUCAUAAAUAAAGAAUGCCUGUACCAUAACCGACACAGGUGGGUAGGUAGAGUAUACUAAGGGGCGCGAGAUAACUCUCUCUAAGGAACUCGGCAAAAUAACUCCGUAACUUCGGGAGAAGGAGUGCCUUCUUUAAGAAGGUUGCAAUAACAAGAUCCAAGCAACUGUUUAUCAAAAACACAGGUCUCCGCUAAGUCGUAAGACGAUGUAUGGGGGCUGACGCCUGCCCAGUGCCAGAAGGUUAAAGAAGCUGGUUAGCAAUAGCGAAGCUGGUGACUGAAGCCCUGGUGAACGGCGGCCGUAACAAUAACGGUCCUAAGGUAGCGAAAUUCCUUGUCGGGUAAGUUCCGACCCGCACGAAAGGCGUAAUGAUUUGGAUACUGUCUCGGAGAGGGACUCGGUGAAAUAGACUUGUCUGUGAAGAUGCGGACUACCUGCACCAGGACAGAAAGACCCUAUGAAGCUUUACUGUAACCUGAAAUUGAAAUUGGACUUUAUUUGCGCAGUAUAGGUGGGAGGCGUUGAAAGUAAUCUUGCGGGAUUAGUGGAGCCAUCAGUGAGAUACCACUCCUAUAAUGUUAGAUUUCUAACUUUGGAUCAUGAUCUGGUCAAAGAACAGUUUCAGGCGGGCAGUUUGACUGGGGCGGUCGCCUCCCAAAUGGUAACGGAGGCGUACAAAGGUUUCCUCUGAACGGGUAGAAAUCGUAUCUAGAGUGUAAAGGCAUAAGGAAGCUUGACUGUGAGACCUACAAGUCGAGCAGGGACGAAGGUCGGUCUUAGUGAUCUGACGGUGCUGAGUGGAAAGGCCGUCACUCAACGGAUAAAAGUUACUCUAGGAUAACAGGCUGAUCUCCCCCAAGAGUUCACAUCGACGGGGAGGUUUGGCACCUCGAUGUCGGCUCAUCGCAUCCUGGGGCGGUAGUACGUCCCAUGGGUUGGGCUGUUCGCCCAUGAAAGCGGUACGCGAGCUGGGUUCAGAACGUCGUGAGACAGUUCGGUCCAUAUCCGGUGUAGGCGUUAGAAUAUUGAGAGGAGCCUUCUCUAGUACGAGAGGACCGAGAAGGACAUACCUCUGGUGUACCAGUUAUCGUGCCAACGGUAAACGCUGGGCAGCUAUGUAUGGAGAGGAUAACCGCUGAAAGCAUCUAAGUGGGAAGCCCACCUCAAGAUGAGUAUUCUCAUCAU
This 1247-nucleotide ribosomal RNA is filed under the name metagenome. Its description in RNAcentral is "bacterial LSU rRNA". It matches the Rfam family "Bacterial large subunit ribosomal RNA", at positions 1564 to 2820 of the family's 2925-position model. The record is from RNAcentral.